Sapajus apella (tufted capuchin) is the source of this 1197-nucleotide long non-coding RNA. RefSeq lists it as uncharacterized. The transcript has 2 exons. Lineage: Eukaryota; Metazoa; Chordata; Mammalia; Primates; Cebidae. The record is from RefSeq and is a predicted model, not a curated record.
AUAGAACAUGUUCCUUUAACUCAGAGAAGUUUGUUAUUACCCACCUUCUAAAGCCUGUUUCUGUCAAUUCAUCAAAUUCAUUCUCCAUCCUGCUUUGCUCCCUUGCUGUUGAGCAGUCGUGAUAUUGUGGUGGGGGAGAGACGGGUCCCCCUGCCGCACAAAGCCUGCAAGGCCGAAAAAACUCUCAUUCCAGAGUUAGGCACCCAGAAACUCAUUGAGAGAGUGACCAGGAAUGAUCCAGCUCGGCAGGCCAAAGGGAAGCCAACAUUGCAGAAGCUGGUCUAAUUUUCCUGAGUAAAUAAAAGACGCAGCAGCUCCACUGAAUCUGUGACAGCCCAGCAGCAUUUCUGCAGGAAGUCAAAGGAAAGGCCGCUUCCCCAAGCAGCUACCUGAGAUCAAAACUACAUGAAUCCAAGAUGUGGGAAGAAACCAGCACAAGAAGAAUGAAACCAUCAAAAACAUCUUCCUCUUUCUUCCGUUGAAAUCAUGGCUCAAGUUCCAUCACAGAACUGAGUUCAUUUUGUCUUGCAUUAAAGGUAGUUGACUUUACCUGCUUCUCUCUCAUUUAAACUUUCUAAGGACAGAGACUACAUCUGAUUUAUCUUCACUCAAGAGUGCAUGACAGUUUCCAUUGUAUGAGUUAAACAUUGGUAAGAAUUCCCUUUACACAUAUAAUUCAAAAAUGAAAAAUUAUAUGGUACCAAGUGAAGUUAAAACUGUUAGGUAUCAUCAGAGUUAGUGUAAAAUCCAACUUAAGUACUCAACUUACUCUGAUUUAGCAUUUGCUGUGUUUAUGGUACUGGGAGAGGCAUGAGGAAUUUAAGCAAUGACUAAAACAGUUUCUCUGUGAAUCAAUAAACUUUAUAUAGAGAAAUAAAUCCCUAUCAGUGACCUCUGGACAAUAACAGUAGAAAGAACAAUUAGGCAAGAGCCUGCUUUUUAGGGAUAUAAAAUUAUUUGCCACAGUUCCAACCUGGUUCUCCCCAUCUCAGUAGACCAAGCUCACUUGUAACCCCAUCAACUCUAAUACAUGGUAUACUUCCACUGGGUUUUUGCCUAGGUAUACCUAGUAGAUUAGUGCACACUUCUCCCCAUUUCCCCAUUCCAGGUUCAACAGCAAUUUCUGCCCCACUCCAGGGUCAAAGAAGAAAGCAGUUCAGAUUAAAGUAAGCCAGCUGUAGCCCUAGUGUCAAAAAU